GUUAAACAACACACGUGGGUUAUGGUGAUUUACCUCCACCAAGUUUGCCAGGUAUUGUAUUUUGCUCUGUUUAACAGUUUUCUGGUAGGUGAUCAAGGAGUCCUUAAGUAUUUGGAAAGAAACCUGCAGCUUGUCCUUCUUCCACCUUCGCUCAGCUUUGCGGCACUCUCGUCUAGCUGCGCGAGUUUCUUCAUUGAACCAGGGCUCCGAUUUAGCCUUUGGCCGAACAGUUUUUAAAGGAGCCACAGAGUCCAGAAUAUUUUCACAGAAGGAAUGAAACCAGGAGCUGAGCACCUCUGUGUUCGCAGAGGUAGGGCAGACACAGAGGUGUUCAAAAGCCACAGAGAAGCGACCGGCAGUGGAGGGGUUAAUAAUCCGGCGUCUCUGCGCAGGAGCGCCAGAUUUAACCUCAGAGCAAGAAAGGUACACUUCAAACAAUACAGGCCUGUGAUCAGAAAAUACAUCAUCACAUAUCACCAGGUUAGACACAUGUAAACCAUGACACAGUACGAGGUCCAGUAAAUGCCCGUGCUCGUGUGUGGCACCCGACACACACUGCACCAAAUUAAAAGAGUCAAUAAGACUUACAAAGUCCUUCACCAACGGCUUUUCUGGACAACACAGGUGAAUAUUAAAAUCCCCAAGAAUAAGGACACGAUCAUAGUUCGGCAUAAUUUCAGCCAGUAGACCAGAGAAGUCAUUUAAAAACUCCUUAUUGUAUUUGGGGGGGCGAUAAAUGACCGCGCACAGCACCGGGUCAGACCGACCCACCUCAAAUAAAGUCACCUCAAAGCUUGAAAAAGAGGAUGAUACUGUGCGCUGCUUGCAUUUAAAACCAUUCUUAUAUAUCGUUGCUAUUCCUCCACCACGACCCGACGUCCGCGGGGAGUUAAAGUAAGAGCAGUCGGGAGGUAAAAGUUCGGCUAGAGCGUUGGACUCACCCGCACCGAUCCAAGUCUCUGUCACACAGAGGAAAUCCAGGGCACGAGAGCUG
Non-coding RNA from Xyrichtys novacula (pearly razorfish), 994 nucleotides. NCBI's taxonomy places the organism in Eukaryota, Metazoa, Chordata, Actinopteri, Labriformes, Labridae. The record is from the annotation of a GenBank genome assembly.